UACGUAGGGUGCGAGCGUUAAUCGGAAUUACUGGGCGUAAAGCGUGCGCAGGCGGUUCGUUGUGUCGGCGGUGAAAGCCCCGGACUCAACCUGGGAAUGGCCGUUGAAACUGGCGAACUGGAGUGUGGCAGAGGGGGGUGGAAUUCCGCGUGUAGCAGUGAAAUGCGUAGAGAUGCGGAGGAACACCGAUGGCGAAGGCAGCCCCCUGGGCUGACACUGACGCUCAGGCACGAAAGCGUGGGGAGCAAACAGG
RNAcentral lists this ribosomal RNA (253 nucleotides) under uncultured bacterium. Its description in RNAcentral is "partial 16S ribosomal RNA". It matches the Rfam family "Bacterial small subunit ribosomal RNA", at positions 524 to 776 of the family's 1533-position model. The record is from RNAcentral.